Molecule: RNA transcript, 3183 nt
Organism: Toxotes jaculatrix (banded archerfish)
Lineage: Eukaryota; Metazoa; Chordata; Actinopteri; Toxotidae
Gene: stx3b
Gene name: syntaxin 3A
Exons: 12
Source: RefSeq, a predicted model, not a curated record
GACAGUGGAGAGACAGAUUAUACGGCUCCACACAACUGUUGUUUUAAUCCCCUGGGCGAGGAGAUUUAGCAAAGAAAAAACACUGGCUUUAAACCCAGCAGCCAUAUUGUAUGGAAAAACGACGGAAAGACUCUUCUUCUCAGAAAAAGUCGGUUUCUCAGACAACUCCGUCAAGACUUUUGGGGAGUUUAAUUUUCUUUCUUACUGGCGGUGGGUUUGUGUUGGACAGCUAGCUUGCCAGCUGGCUGAGGAAUUCAGAGAUUGGUUUAGUUUUUGAGCAAUUUGACACAGUAUUGUGGUUAUUGCUUUGGCUUAAAAGUCUUGAAUUAACCGUCUGAAAGAUGAAGGAUCGAUUGGAGCAACUUAAAGCGACGUGUGAUCAGGAUGACGACGAGGUGGAGAUUGCUGUGGACAACGCAGCCUUCAUGGACGAGUUCUUCUCUCAGAUUGAGGACAUCAGGAACAGUAUUGAUAAAAUUGAUGAGAAUGUGGCUGAAGUCAAAAGGCUUUACUCAGUCAUCCUGUCUGCUCCCACCUCAGAUCAGAAAACACAGGAUGACUUGGAGGCAAUCACUAAUGACAUAAAGAAGAUGGCCAACAACGCAAGAAACAAACUCAAGACCAUUGAGAGAAAUCUGGAGUCAGAAGAGCAGGAGAGGGUGUCGGCUGACAUGCGGAUACGUAAAUCACAGCAUGCAGUGCUGUCCAGGAAGUUUGUGGAGGUAAUGACAAAGUAUAAUGAAGCCCAGGUGGACUUCAGGGAGAGGAGUAAAGGACGUAUUCAGAGACAGCUCGAGAUCACUGGAAAAGCAACAACAGAUGAUGAACUGGAGGAGAUGCUGGAGAGUGGCAAUGCUGCUGUGUUCACUGCAGGGAUUGUGGACUCUGGGAUCUCUAAACAAGCCCUGAGUGAGAUUGAAUCCAGACACAAAGACAUUGUCCGUCUGGAAAGUAGCAUCAAGGAGCUGCACGAUAUGUUUGUAGACAUCGCCAUGCUGGUGGAGAGCCAGGGUGACAUAGUAGACAACAUAGAGCAGAAUGUGUCCAAGUCAGUGGACCACAUAGCAGUGGCUCAGGAACAGACCAAAAAAGCUGUAAGGUACCAGACCAAAGCACGUAAGAAAAUGGUGAUAAUUGUGGUGGUUGUGGUGGUCUUGCUGGCCUUACUAGCUCUCAUUAUCGGUUUGUCAGUGGGACUGAAGCAAAGCUGAUGAGCUGUCUGAGUAAGAAGAGAGCUAAGGCACUUGCCUCUGGUCACUGCUGAACAAACAAAGCAGUACUAGAGAAGAUGAUGAUUAUUGGUGCGGUCUGUGCUGUGGUUGUUCUAAUCCUCCUCAUCGUCAUCCUCACACUAUAGCAGGACCUCUGUGCUGCUACCAUCAUGUUUAUUCAUCACCCACAUCAUCCGUCCUACUCUUCAUCAGCUGGCUUCACCAAAGAAAAGAUUGAUACUGGUCACCUCAGAUGGACCAUUAACUUAAAACUGCACCAAGUUUUUUUUUCACUAGUAGAGGGAGGCUUGGUGUUACAUUGGAGAACUGGAAAAAAAAAAAGAGGAUCUACAGGAUUUGUGAGCAUAAAAAAAAAAAGAUUUUUGACCUUUGAAUUUCUUUUUACCAAUCCCAUCUGAACCACCCUUCCUGGUUUGCAUGGGUUUGUUUGGCUCCCUUGGGUAGCUUGGACAGUUUGAGGAUGCUCUGCUGUAAAUGAGGAAAUGAGACUGAAGCUGACAUAAGGUACAAUACCUGUUGUAUCUGCGAAGGCGAAAAGGGAAUUGAAACAUAACCGAUCAUAAUUUCACUUGUGUCACUAAACAUUUCAUUGUUUCAACAUGCAGUGCCAAAGAAUCAGCCGGGAAGUGUUUGUCAUCCGAAAUUUCUUUUACUGUUCAGCAAGUCAGAGCACCUUCCUUAUCUUUAUUUCUUGCCUUUAUGAGCCUUGACACAGUUUUGCGAUUGAAAAGCUUGCUACUGUUUGUUCACUGUAAUGGGAUUUUAUUGGUUUGGAGGAGUUCCAGCCAUUUUACAUUUCAUUACAUUUCUCUAAUUAAGCUCAGAUGAUCAGGUAAAUAACAGAAUUAUUAUGUUUUGUGUUACCAAUAUCUAACCCUGAAUAUGACUUAUUCAACUUGAAGAGGGUUAGUGCUUUCACUCAAUUCUUCAGUUUAGAGAGCACAGUGGUUUUGAUUUUCAAUGUAUGAAGGAUGGUGCUUAAAGAAACACAUUCCGUGGAUAGGCAGAGCUAAGAAAAGCAAACAAGCAAAAAGGUUAGGGGAAGGCUAGGGGGAUAAGCAUGCAUUCCUUGUUUCAAGAUUUAUCUGAACACUGCAACACUAUGACAUCUAUAGACGUGAUCGUUUCCCCCUUUAAAAUUCUGUAAUAAAACAUAAUGUUUAAAUGCCAAAUGAUAUAAAAAGAGACUGGUAGUAACAAUGGUGACUUGGCUUGCUUCCCAAAAGAGUCAAAAUAGUUUUUGUAUUUAUUGUAUGUUUUGAUAAAGUUUUUCUAAUAAAGUCACACAUAGAAGAUGAAGUGUAAAUGGAAACUUUGAGGUCCAGUGUGGUCUCGAUGGCUGGUAGCUCUUUACAACUUACUGGUGUAAACAGGAAGAACAAAAUAUUUGAAAGAGCUCUCAGUUGGUCACUAUCAUUUCAUUAGGCUUUUAUUUUUUAGAUGGAAUAUGUGAAAUCUACAAUUUAUUAAAGCACAGUGUUCAUAUUUGUCACCCUGUGGCUUUAAUAGGGUAAUUAAAGCAGGUGAUUACAGAUGUGCACACUAGGACUGUAUCAGAGAUACCAUUUCCACCAGUUAUCAAAGAGAAGAAGCAAGAUAAUCCAUUUCAGUUAACAGGUAUUGACCAAAGGGGUUUUACAGUGCAACAACAUACUUUGGAAAAUGUCUACUGCGUGAUGAGAGCCACCAUCACUGAAUGAAAUCUUUGUUUCUGUUCCACUGUAGCCUGAAUGGCACAUUUCAUUCUGGUUGUGCACUUGAAAGUAAAAACCCCCUGCCGGCUUGAUCUUUAGACUUCUGCCCACAACUGUUCAGUCCUAAUGCCUCUGUUCAAGGCUUUUUCUUAAGCACAGGCUGCAUUAAGAGAGGAAGAAGAAAACUGUAACUGUUGUAGACUUUUAACUUAAGUGCCAAUGAUUUUAAUGGAGAUUAAAGAUUUUAUGUUUUUUAA